GCAUAUCAAUAAGCGGAGGAAAAGAAACCAACAGGGAUUGCCUCAGUAACGGCGAGUGAAGCGGCAAGAGCUCAAAUUUGAAAGCUGGCUCCUUCGGGGUCCGCAUUGUAAUUUGCAGAGGAUGCUUCGGGAGCGGCCCCCAUCUAAGUGCCCUGGAACGGGCCGUCAUAGAGGGUGAAAAUCCCGUCUGGGAUGGGGUGUCCGCGCCCGUGUGAAGCUCCUUCGACGAGUCGAGUUGUUUGGGAAUGCAGCUCUAAAUGGGUGGUAAAUUUCAUCUAAAGCUAAAUAUUGGCCGGAGACCGAUAGCGCACAAGUAGAGUGAUCGAAAGAUGAAAAGCACUUUGAAAAGAGAGUUAAACAGCACGUGAAAUUGUUGAAAGGGAAGCGCUUGCGACCAGACUCGCCCACGGGGUUCAGCCGGCAUUCGUGCCGGUGUACUUCCCCGCGGGCGGGCCAGCGUCGGUUUGGGCGGCCGGUCAAAGGCCCUCGGAAUGUAACGCCCCCCGGGGCGUCUUAUAGCCGAGGGUGCCAUGCGGCCAGCCCAGACCGAGGAACGCGCUUCGGCUCGGACGCUGGCAUAAUGGUCGUAAGCGACCCGUCUUGAAACACGGACCAAGGAGUCUAACAUCUACGCGAGUGUUCGGGUGUCAAACCCGUGCGCGCAGUGAAAGCGAACGGAGGUGGGAACCCCUCGGGGUGCACCAUCGACCGAUCCUGAUGUCUUCGGAUGGAUUUGAGUAUGAGCGUAGCUGUUGGGACCCGAAAGAUGGUGAACUAUGCCUGAAUAGGGUGAAGCCAGAGGAAACUCUGGUGGAGGCUCGCAGCGGUUCUGACGUGCAAAUCGAUCGUCAAAUUUGGGUAUAGGGGCGAAAGACUAAUCGAACCAUCUAGUAGCUGGUU
RNAcentral lists this ribosomal RNA (900 nucleotides) under Talaromyces allahabadensis. Its description in RNAcentral is "LSU rRNA". It matches the Rfam family "Eukaryotic large subunit ribosomal RNA", at positions 38 to 956 of the family's 3401-position model. Lineage: Eukaryota; Fungi; Ascomycota; Eurotiomycetes; Eurotiales; Trichocomaceae. The record is from RNAcentral.